UGGUCAGACUUUCUGUAGGAGUGGGCGUGAUUGGUCAGACUUUCUGUAGGAUUGGACAAAAUUGGUCAAACUUUCUGUAGAAGUGGGCAGGACUUGUCAGACUUUCUGUAGGAGUGGGCGGGAUUGGUCAGACUUUCUGUAGGAGUGGGCGUGAUUGGUCAGACUUUCUGUAGGAUUGGACAAAAUAGGUAAAACUUUCUGUAGAAGUGGGCAGGACUUGUCAGACUUUCUGUAAGAGUGGGCGGGAUUGGUCAGACUUUCCGUAGGAGUGGGCAGGAUUUGUCAGACUUUCUGUAAGAGUGGGCGGG
Long non-coding RNA from Ictalurus punctatus (channel catfish), 308 nucleotides. The record is from Ensembl. NCBI's taxonomy places the organism in Eukaryota, Metazoa, Chordata, Actinopteri, Siluriformes, Ictaluridae.